GGACGGAGAGGGGACAGAGGGAAAGGGAGGCGGGUGUCUUCCUCAGGAAUUUGAGCUGGGGAUCUGCAUCCUGGCCAUUGCAGUCCUUUAGCAUCCUCGCCGCGCCCUGAGCGCGCUGGAGGCUUGCAGGCUGCGCCCUCCCAGGGCUGAUGCCGCGUCCUGCUCCGCCGUUCUGGGACGUCGGGGACAAAAGUGGAGGAGACGGGAGAGCCCGGGCAGAAAAAGCAGGACGCGCGUCCCAGCUGCCGUGAAGAUGCCAAACCCACCAAGACUGCGCUGCCCCACCUCUCCGAGGCUGCCCUGGGAGUGCGGGUGACCCGCGAGCUCCAGAAUCUUUCCUUAAGGUGGAGCCACAGCGCCACCUCGCGAUCCUCCAGCUUCCCUCCCUCAUGGCCACGGAAGGCUGGCCCUUUCUGGUCCAAGCCCUCAGGGUCCCACACUUACUG
RNAcentral lists this long non-coding RNA (446 nucleotides) under Pan troglodytes (chimpanzee). Its description in RNAcentral is "long non-coding RNA NONPTRT013804". Lineage: Eukaryota; Metazoa; Chordata; Mammalia; Primates; Hominidae. The record is from RNAcentral.